AGAUACCCUGUUACUUAUAGUUAAAAUUUUUUGGAAUAGUAAUAAUAAUGAAAUUUAACGGAUUUGGCGGCAAGAUAGCUAUUUAGAGGAACCUGCCCUGUAAACGAUAAGCCACGAGAUACUCUACUUUUGUUUGUAAUCAGUUUGUAUACCGCUGUUGUCAGUCAGUUUUAUUAGAAAACUUUCUAUCAUGAUAAAAUCAAGUACUUCAAGUAAAGGUGCAGCUUAUAUAGAAGAUAGAGGUGGGUUACAUUUAAAAUGAUUAAAACAGAUAAAGAUACUGAAAAUUCUUUUGAAGGUGGAUUUAAAUGUAAAGUUUAUGUAAACU
Molecule: ribosomal RNA, 328 nt
Filed under: Trevathana doni
Lineage: Eukaryota; Metazoa; Arthropoda; Thecostraca; Balanomorpha; Pyrgomatidae
Description: partial 12S ribosomal RNA
Source: RNAcentral